Molecule: unclassified non-coding RNA, 353 nt
Filed under: soil metagenome
Description: partial contains 5.8S ribosomal RNA, internal transcribed spacer 2, and large subunit ribosomal RNA
Rfam family: 5.8S ribosomal RNA (bases 1-120)
Source: RNAcentral
GAUGAAGAACGUAGCGAAAUGCGAUAAGUAAUGUGAAUUGCAGAAUUCAGUGAAUCAUCGAAUCUUUGAACGCACAUUGCGCCCGCCAGUAUUCUGGCGGGCAUGCCUGUUCGAGCGUCAUUUCAACCCUCAGGCCCCCAGUGCCUGGCGUUGGGGAUCGGCGCGGCGCCCUCCGGGGCGCUGCCGGCCCCGAAAUUCAGUGGCGGUCUCGCUGUAGCCCUCCUCCGCGUAGUAGCACAACCUCGCGGCCUGGAGCUCGGCGGUGGCCAUGCCGUAAAACACCCCACUUCUGAAAGUUGACCUCGGAUCAGGUAGGAAUACCCGCUGAACUUAAGCAUAUCAUAAGCGGAGGA